RNAcentral lists this transfer RNA (56 nucleotides) under Angiostrongylus costaricensis. RNAcentral's name for it is "tRNA-Leu". The record is from RNAcentral. Lineage: Eukaryota; Metazoa; Nematoda; Chromadorea; Rhabditida; Metastrongylidae.
ACGCAAAUAGUAUAGAAUGUAUAUUGAAUUUAGGUUUUGAAGGAAAAUUUUGUGUU